RNAcentral lists this unclassified non-coding RNA (919 nucleotides) under Homo sapiens (human). RNAcentral's name for it is "mutS homolog 5 (ENSG00000230961.10)". Lineage: Eukaryota; Metazoa; Chordata; Mammalia; Primates; Hominidae. The record is from RNAcentral.
GGCGGUCGGUCAGCGGGGCGUUCUCCCACCUGUAGCGACUCAGAGCCUCCAAGCUCAUGGCCUCCUUAGGAGCGAACCCAAGGAGGACACCGCAGGGACCGAGACCUGGGGCGGCCUCCUCCGGCUUCCCCAGCCCGGCCCCAGUGCCGGGCCCCAGGGAGGCCGAGGAGGAGGAAGUCGAGGAGGAGGAGGAGCUGGCCGAGAUCCAUCUGUGUGUGCUGUGGAAUUCAGGAUACUUGGGCAUUGCCUACUAUGAUACUAGUGACUCCACUAUCCACUUCAUGCCAGAUGCCCCAGACCACGAGAGCCUCAAGCUUCUCCAGAGAGUUCUGGAUGAGAUCAAUCCCCAGUCUGUUGUUACGAGUGCCAAACAGGAUGAGAAUAUGACUCGAUUUCUGGGAAAGCUUGCCUCCCAGGAGCACAGAGAGCCUAAAAGACCUGAAAUCAUAUUUUUGCCAAGUGUGGAUUUUGGUCUGGAGAUAAGCAAACAACGCCUCCUUUCUGGAAACUACUCCUUCAUCCCAGACGCCAUGACUGCCACUGAGAAAAUCCUCUUCCUCUCUUCCAUUAUUCCCUUUGACUGCCUCCUCACACCCCCAGGAGAUUUAAGAUUUACCCCGAUUCCACUGCUGAUCCCCUCCCAGGUUCGAGCACUUGGAGGGCUGCUGAAGUUCCUGGGUCGAAGAAGAAUCGGGGUUGAACUGGAAGACUAUAAUGUCAGCGUCCCCAUCCUGGGCUUUAAGAAAUUUAUGUUGACUCAUCUGGUGAACAUAGAUCAAGACACUUACAGUGUUCUACAGAUUUUUAAGAGUGAGUCUCACCCCUCAGUGUACAAAGUGGCCAGUGGACUGAAGGAGGGGCUCAGCCUCUUUGGAAUCCUCAACAGAUGCCACUGUAAGUGGGGAGAGAAGCUGCUCAG